GACGGGGGAUGCAAGCGUUAUCCGGAAUCACUGGGCGUAAAGCGUCUGUAGGUGGUGAUGCAAGUCACUGGUGCAAAACUCUGGCUCAACCGGAGGAAAGCCAGUGAAACUGCAUGACUAGAGUGUGGGAGAGGUAGAAGGAAUUCCCUGAGUAGCGGUGAAAUGCGUAGAUACAGGGAAGAACACCGGAGGCGAAAGCGUUCUACUGGAACACAACUGUCACUGCGAGACGACAGCUAGGGGAGCGAAUGGG
RNAcentral lists this ribosomal RNA (253 nucleotides) under uncultured bacterium. RNAcentral's name for it is "partial 16S ribosomal RNA". It matches the Rfam family "Bacterial small subunit ribosomal RNA", at positions 524 to 776 of the family's 1533-position model. The record is from RNAcentral.